GACAGAGGGUGCAAACGUUGUUCGGAAUUACUGGGCGUAAAGCGCGUGUAGGCUGCUUCGCAAGUCGGAUGUGAAAGCCCUGGGCUCAACCCAGGAAGUGCAUUCGAAACUGCAGAGCUGGAGUCCUGGAGAGGAAGGCGGAAUUCUCGGUGUAGAGGUGAAAUUCGUAGAUAUCGAGAGGAACACCGGUGGCGAAGGCGGCCUUCUGGACAGUGACUGACGCUGAGACGCGAAAGCGUGGGAGCAAACAGG
Molecule: ribosomal RNA, 252 nt
Filed under: uncultured bacterium
Lineage: Bacteria
Description: partial 16S ribosomal RNA
Rfam family: Bacterial small subunit ribosomal RNA
Source: RNAcentral